AAGGUUUUAAGAUGAGUAUAUGUUGCAUAAUUUUAAAAAAUCUUUACCGAUGAAGAUGCAUACUAUUUUCUAGACUAGUAGCAGCUGGCAACCUCCCCAAAACGUUUUAUGCAAACUUGUUUAUUGAAAUAGAGCAAGAAUGCAAUCAAAAUAGGAGAUGGGCUUAAAAUAGUGCAUACUACCCAGAGCAGGAGAAGAAAGGAGCUAGAUCUAGUGGGAGCCGGCUUUAAAGCAGGUAAACUGAAUUCCUGUGUAAUGGAAUGAAUGAAUGAAUAAAUAGUUAAUACAAAGGAAGGGGCUUAAUAUUUUUUUCCUCAGUAACCUUUACUGAUGGCAAGUAAAAUACAGCAAGAAGUGCUAAAGGAGGGGGGAGCUCUGUGAAAGAUUCAUUGCAAAGUUGUAGAGACUCCACUUUAAACAAAUCCUUAUAGCCCUUGUUGGCAGCAGCAAAAACAGAAAAUGGGUCAUCCUGUUGUUUUGGCAUCUUCCCUGCCUACUCCCCCCACAGGGCUGAAGUGGUCUGCAUGGUACCAUAUUCCUUUAUGAAUGAACCUGAGAGGCCUUUGUUUACUGGAAGCCUCCAUUUGUCUAAAAAGGGGAGUCUAUUAUAAAAAAAAGAUGUAGAAGACUAUUUUGAGAGAAUAUGGUGCUGAAAAAAUUAUCUGUGCUACUUAGUUUUAAUCUAUAAACUAUUUUAGAGUCCCAAUGACAGGUAAGACAUGCUGCUUUCUUUCUUGUGGAUGUUUAUAAAUUUGUGACAACAAAGGGAAACAUAGCAACAAGACUGACAGCAUGGACUUUUGGAAUAAAUCUGAGUGAUGUCUUAAGCACUUUUUUCCUGAAAGAGAAAAGUGUCUUACUUAAGUGCUAUAUAUACUAUUUGAUGCUCGUAAACCAAAAUAAUGGCAACUAAUGUGCUUUGACAGAAAAAAGGCCCUGGUAACAUCAUGGGGUACUAAAAAGUAUUGUUCCCUUAAGGGGUUUGUUAAGUUUUUUCAGGCGUUAUUACAUAGUGAUUGACAGAUGACAAAGAAGUGGGAGAGACUUUGGGGGAAGUCGGGGAAGAUGGAGAUCGUUAUUUACCUUGCUAUAUUUAAAAACCAGCAAGACAUCAACAGAAAACCUCAGAUCAGUGAAGAGUGGGUUAGGUCAAGAGUAGAAGUAGAUUUGGGGUGAGACAACUUUUGAGUGGAGUGUCAGAGGAAUGAGGAUUCACCAAAUGGAUCAUAGAAGGGUCAGAGCAAUGGGAGAAGGUAAUGACAAGAGCCAGUGGUUAUCAGACUCAUCCAGUGUGUGUUGCAUCAAAAAGCCACCAGGAAGUGAAUAAAAGUGGAGCAGAGCUCCUUAUUUGUCCAGGUAGAGAUUAGUAGAAUGGAGGGGAAGAAAUGGACUGGAGGAAGUAAAGAAUGGAGGUGCUAAUGAACAUAAACAUGCAUAUCAUUUGGUCCGGGAUUUCAGAGAAAGGAGAUGAUUGGAAAGGCAGCUGAAGGUAAGGGCAAAAUUUAAAGAGCAGGGAUACUACAAAUGGUCAUUGUGAAGGGAGACCAGAAAGGUUGUAGAGGGCCAUGGAGGUAAAAGGAAGUACUAGAAAAGGACAAGAAACUUCAUAGGGAGGUGGAGGGAUCUUGUUAACUUCCUUUUAAAAGGUCAGCAUCUUGCAUCAACAUGGGAAAGAUAUAAAAAAGCAAGUUGGAAGCAAUGAAGAGGUAGCUUGGAUUAUAGCUUUGAGAUUAAGCGUAUUGUAUUCAUGAACAACUAAUACACUGCCCCUUUUUAAGAGGGAAACUUAGCUACUGCUUCUUGCUCUGUGUGCUCAGCUGAGUUGCUGAAUGCAGUGUGUAUUUGAAGUCUGGUUAAUAAAAGGUCUAUUUUGUUUACCAUA
Molecule: long non-coding RNA, 1882 nt
Organism: Gavialis gangeticus (Gharial)
Lineage: Eukaryota; Metazoa; Chordata; Crocodylia; Gavialidae
Exons: 2
Source: RefSeq, a predicted model, not a curated record